GAAAUGCGAUAAUUAAUGUGAAUUGCAGAAUUCAGUGAAUCAUCGAGUCUUUGAACGCACAUUGCGCCCCCUGGUAUUCCGGGGGGCAUGCCUGUCCGAGCGUCAUUGCUGCCCUCAAGCACGGCUUGUGUGUUGGGCUUCCGUCCCUGGCAACGGGGUCGGGCCCAAAAGGCAGUGGCGGCACCAUGUCUGGUCCUCGAGCGUAUGGGGCUUUGUCACCCGCUCCCGUAGGUCCAGCUGGCAGCUAGCCUCGCAACCAAUCUUUUUAACCAGGUUGACCUCGGAUCAGGUAGGGAUACCCGCUGAACUUAAGC
RNAcentral lists this unclassified non-coding RNA (314 nucleotides) under plant metagenome. RNAcentral describes it as "partial contains 5.8S ribosomal RNA, internal transcribed spacer 2, and large subunit ribosomal RNA". The stretch from base 1 to 105 matches the Rfam family "5.8S ribosomal RNA", at positions 50 to 154 of the family's 154-position model. The record is from RNAcentral.